CCCUACGGGGCGCAGCAGUAGGGAAUCUUCCACAAUGGGCGAAAGCCUGAUGGAGCAACGCCGCGUGGGUGAAGAAGGUCUUCGGAUCGUAAAACCCUGUUGUUAGAGAAGAAAGUGCGUGAGAGUAACUGUUCACGUUUCGACGGUAUCUAACCAGAAAGCCACGGCUAACUACGUGCCAGCAGCCGCGGUAAUACGUAGGUGGCAAGCGUUAUCCGGAUUUAUUGGGCGUAAAGGGACCGCAGGCGGACUUUUAAUCCUGAUUUGAAAGCCUUCGGCUUAACCGGAGUCGUGCAUUGGAAACU
Molecule: ribosomal RNA, 305 nt
Filed under: uncultured bacterium
Lineage: Bacteria
Description: bacterial SSU rRNA
Rfam family: Bacterial small subunit ribosomal RNA
Source: RNAcentral